This 972-nucleotide ribosomal RNA is filed under the name Staphylococcus aureus. RNAcentral's name for it is "partial 23S ribosomal RNA". It matches the Rfam family "Bacterial large subunit ribosomal RNA", at positions 388 to 1368 of the family's 2925-position model. The record is from RNAcentral. Lineage: Bacteria; Bacillati; Bacillota; Bacilli; Caryophanales; Staphylococcaceae.
UUGUCUCUCUUGAGUGGAUCCUGAGUACGACGGAGCACGUGAAAUUCCGUCGGAAUCUGGGAGGACCAUCUCCUAAGGCUAAAUACUCUCUAGUGACCGAUAGUGAACCAGUACCGUGAGGGAAAGGUGAAAAGCACCCCGGAAGGGGAGUGAAAUAGAACCUGAAACCGUGUGCUUACAAGUAGUCAGAGCCCGUUAAUGGGUGAUGGCGUGCCUUUUGUAGAAUGAACCGGCGAGUUACGAUUUGAUGCAAGGUUAAGCAGUAAAUGUGGAGCCGUAGCGAAAGCGAGUCUGAAUAGGGCGUUUAGUAUUUGGUCGUAGACCCGAAACCAGGUGAUCUACCCUUGGUCAGGUUGAAGUUCAGGUAACACUGAAUGGAGGACCGAACCGACUUACGUUGAAAAGUGAGCGGAUGAACUGAGGGUAGCGGAGAAAUUCCAAUCGAACCUGGAGAUAGCUGGUUCUCUCCGAAAUAGCUUUAGGGCUAGCCUCAAGUGAUGAUUAUUGGAGGUAGAGCACUGUUUGGACGAGGGGCCCCUCUCGGGUUACCGAAUUCAGACAAACUCCGAAUGCCAAUUAAUUUAACUUGGGAGUCAGAACAUGGGUGAUAAGGUCCGUGUUCGAAAGGGAAACAGCCCAGACCACCAGCUAAGGUCCCAAAAUAUAUGUUAAGUGGAAAAGGAUGUGGCGUUGCCCAGACAACUAGGAUGUUGGCUUAGAAGCAGCCAUCAUUUAAAGAGUGCGUAAUAGCUCACUAGUCGAGUGACACUGCGCCGAAAAUGUACCGGGGCUAAACAUAUUACCGAAGCUGUGGAUUGUCCUUUGGACAAUGGUAGGAGAGCGUUCUAAGGGCGUUGAAGCAUGAUCGUAAGGACAUGUGGAGCGCUUAGAAGUGAGAAUGCCGGUGUGAGUAGCGAAAGACGGGUGAGAAUCCCGUCCACCGAUUGACUAAGGUUUCCAGAGGAAGGCUCG